Molecule: RNA transcript, 23983 nt
Organism: Callithrix jacchus (white-tufted-ear marmoset)
Lineage: Eukaryota; Metazoa; Chordata; Mammalia; Primates; Cebidae
Gene: FUT9
Gene name: fucosyltransferase 9
Source: RefSeq, a predicted model, not a curated record
AGGGAGGAAGGAAACCAAGACAGAAGAUAAUGGACUGUCAGUCACUAUGCCCUUCACACUUACAACCUUCCUAGAUCACUGAGGACACGGUCUGAGGCAAUUGGUCAAAAUGAUAUAUGUAUAUGUUUCUUUUUUUUUUUUUUAACCUCCUUAGCUGGCCACCCCUGCCCAGGCAACAGCUCCUAGGGGCAGGCGAUGGUUGCCGGCAUUGAGCUCCCUGCUGGCGCCUUCUGGUGGGACAGCCGGUGCCAAAGAGCGCCCAGGGAAACAAACAGCAACGGGGGACUCUACAGAUGCCAUGGAUGCACAUGUAGGAUACUAAUCUGUCCAGAAAGGGGAGAGAAGGAGGGCGACAGGCUACGGAUCCGGGUCCAGGAGCCGCCGCAGUGGAGCGGGCGGCGGGGUGCGCGCACAGGUGCCACAGGCCGGCGGCGCCGAGAGCGGUAGCCGCUGCCUCCCGGACUCAGCACUUGCACCCGCGCGGUGAAGCCGCGGCUGCUGCCAAGCUUGGGUAACCCCCAGCCUGAGCCACGAAAGGAAGAGCCCAAGGAAAGGGCGCGAAGGGGGAAGGAAGGUGGAGUGGAAGGAGGGCGGAGGAGAGACCCAUCGCCUCAUCUCCGAUUUCUCUUCCCCGAGCUCAUCUGGUGGGGACCUUUCUGGGCUCGGGUGCGCCUCCCUCCCCACCGCCUUAACUCUGGGCGAGCGUCUCCCCCUCUCUCCUUGCUCACCCCCCACCCUCCCUGCUUUUCCGUCCCUCCCUACCGCGUGCCUCCUCCCCUCCCCCUCGCCUCCCUCCCUUCCAGCGGCUGUAGCAGUAGCAGCUUCAGCGAAGCCGGAGAUGGGCAGAGAGCGCGCGCGGCGCAGCAGCUACAGAUUCACUGCUCCCUCCUGCAGCUCCCGGCGCCCCCGCCGCUGUCGCCGCCUCGGUGUCCCCCAGCUCCAGUCCCGCUCUUAGGACAGCGCCAGCGCCGCCGCCGCCGCCUGGCCCUGUCUGCCUCCUGCGCCGCGCAGCCCUAGCGCGCUCCCCGGAUGGCGCUUUACCCCUAGGACCGACUGAGUCUUGUUCUGUCACCAAGGCUGGAGUACAGUGGUGUGAUCUUGGCUUACUGCAACCUCCAUCUUCCAGGUUCAAGUUUAGAAUGUAAUAAUUCAAGGAUUUGAUAAUACAGUGAAGUAGUUUAACAACUGUCUAUGUGCUUCCCAUGAUAUGUUCUCUAUAUUUUCUAUUGGCUCUUUUUUUAUUCCAUGGAAAGCUUCAUUCUGUGACUUAACUUUUCCUAUGCCUACAAACAGUGAUUGCAUUUGUAAGUAUCACAUCUUCCUAUAAUAUUCUCCAAUUAUAAACAGAAUGUCUUAGAUUAAGUAAAAAGAUAAUUACCUUUUUUCCCAAUAGUCAAAAGUUUUUGGCUUUAUCUCGUUUGAAGCAAAGUAUUUCACGUAUAUACUUCUGAACCAAUCAGUGUAGCUGACAGCUCCUGUAUGCAGAUUGGAAGACAGGCAUAGGCAGUGGAUGAGGUCCCAUGGGCUGGAACCAGCAGCAAGCACUGGUCCUUCAAAGUACUUGCUGCUGUACAAUAGGAGAGGGGUAGAGCAUAUGUCAAGGAGGCAAUGACAGUCCCUGCAGUUACCCAAACUUCACAUUUCCGUUGGCUCUUAAAUCACAAAAGCAUUCUCUCUAGCGUACAGAAAAAUGACUCCCAAUCAGCAAAGAUUCUCGCAAUUCCACAGCAGUUAAGGUUUAUUUCCCUGUGAUGCCUGUCUUUAUUUAAAUGCUCUUAGCAAGCUUCAAAGCAAUUUUAAAAACUGAUUCUGCCGCGCGCGGUGGCUCAUGCCUAUAAUCCCAGCACUUUGGGAGGCCGAGGCGGGUGGAUCACGAGGUCAAGAGAUGGAGACGGGUCAACAAGGUGAAACCCCGUCUCUACUAAAAAUAGAAAAAAUUAGCUGGGCAUGGUGGUGCACGCCUGUAGUCCCAGCUCUUUGGGAGGCUGAGGCAGGAGAAUUGCUUGAACCCAGAAGAAGGAGGUUGUGGUGAGCUGAGAUCGUGCCAUUGCACUCCAGUCUGGGUAACAACAGCGAAACUCCAUCUCAAAAAUAAAUAAAUAAAUAAAUAAAUAAAAUCUGAUUCUUUGAAAUCCAGAGAGUUACUAAUUGGGAGUUAGAAAGGGGGUAAAAAACUCAGUGUCAAAUGAUUUAUUGUAAAAGGUCUUUUUUAUCUGUUUGGGAAGGAAGAGAGUGUUAUGGUCUGAAAUGUGUUGUCAAAUUCACAUCAAAGUCCCAAUCUCCAGUACAUUUUUGGAGAUAAGGUCGUUAAAGAGAUGAUUAGAUUAAAAGGCCUCUCGUGUUUGGCCCCAAUCUAAAAUGGCUGGUGUCCCUUUAAGAAAAGCAAGAGCUACCAGAGAUGAGAGCACAGGAAGGAAUGACCAAGUGAAGAGGCAGAGAGAGGGCAGCCACGUGCAAGCCAAGAAAGAGUUUCAGCAGGACCCAAUCCUCAUGACCCCUUGAUCUCAGACUUCCAGCCUCUAGAACUGUGAGGAAAUAAAUUUCUUCUGCUUAAUCUACCCAGUUUGUGGUAUUUUGUUAUGAAUCCCUAGCAAACUAAUACACAACGUAGUUUGUUUGCUUUUUGUAUCAAUAAAUAUCUGAUUGCUGAAACAAUUUCUAGUAUCAUUUCUUAACAUAUAUUUGUUAGGUGCACUCUAUUUUUGGUCUAGGACUUUCUCCUGUAACUGGUAAACUGGUAUAUAUAUAUAUAUGAUACUGCUGGUACUUGUUGAGGUUGAUGCAUUUCUCUUCACCAGUGAAGUCUAAUGCUACAGGAAAGUUUUCAAAUUUCACACUGGUCCAGGACUGGUAAUUUUUUUUCCAAGUGGCGAAUACUUUGAGGAGGAGAGCUGUGAGCCAGUGCAAUUAACACCAUGGUCACUUUCUAAUUUUCUUGUUGGUGUUUAUGAACACAACGUUUCCCCUUGGAGCCUUGGGGUGAUUUCUGGUGAUGCAGGAUUUUAUGUCCUUAGCUCAGCUAGGUCCAGGUUCUUGUCUAACAACCAGGAAAAAUCAGGCAUGAGGACACUCGAAGAGUGAGUGGAGUAGAAUUUAUUAAGUGAAAAGAAAAACUCUCAUCAAAAAGGGAGGUCCUGAAAGCAGGUUUCCAGUUGCCCUUCAUAGCUGAGUACAAGGGCUUUUAUAAGCUGAUGGAGCUGGUUCUUUGAUUGUAUAAGGCACGAAUUCCAGGUGGAACCAUUCCAUCCCCCCCUGUAUGCAUGUGGACCCUUAAUCUUCUGCAGGCAUGUUUAGGCUGUACCCUAUGCAAGUUCUCUUAUCUGCUCAAAAUAUCUGGUGUAGGCACUUGUGGGGCAGGUUGGGUGUUCUCCAGGGACCCUUCCCUUACUGUCUGCCUAAAGCACGCUGGCUAACUCCUUUAACCGGUUUUGAAGAUUUUGUUGUUGUUUCUCUAAGCACUAUCUCUUUUCAUUUUAUUUUAUUAUAAAUCCAGUUCUUAUAAUGUCUAAAUGAAAUAUCUCGUUUUUAUUGUGUGCUGAGGUUUGGAACUCAAAUGUACAAAUUAUGGCUGCCUACAUAUAAAGAACAGAAGUAUGUUGCCAUUAAAUAAAAUAAUGGGCAGACAAUGUUAGUUUGAAAUGUUCUUUUUCCCCUCUGUUCCUAUUAAAUUUGGGUUGGUUCUUUGUUAGAGGAAAGAGAAAGAAAGAAAGUGCAAUGCUAUUGCCCAGAAACUUAUCCCCAAAGGAAUUGAGUUAACUGUACCUAGUCCAAGAGAAAGACAUUAAAUUAUGACUGGCUAAAAAGGCUAACCAAGAUGUGUGUGUUUACUAGGAUUUCUUCUUAUAUUCUUUGUGUCUAUAUAAUAUGAUCAGUAUCUUCACUUUCAUUUUCUCUUUAAUUGUGAGACGGGUGUGACAGUUCUGCCCAGGAUAUCUCAGAGCCUGUUACCAAAGUCACUAAAAACAUCACAAAGGAGGACCUUGAGCUCCUCAGAAUAUGUUAAAUAAGUAUUCAAUGAGGUAAACUGUAAAGAUUCUGAGUCUUUUCAUAAUCUUUUAUUAUUUUGGUGAGCUAGCUUUUGUGCUUUUCCUUUGAAAGAGAACGCCUGAUAAAAUGACUUGAAAAAUGUACACUGAGUCAGAGUGAACAAUACUCCUGGAUUUGCAAGUGUUUAUUUUAAUUAUAAAGAAAGUCCCAGUUUAUAAUUUAUUCUAGACAAAUAAUGACAUUUAAAGGCAACCAUGGUUUUAAUAGUUCUCUGAAUCAAGCAAAAACAAUUUAGGAAAAUUUAAACAUUUAAACCUCAGAAAUGCCAAAGAAGACUCUAAAGCUAAUUCAGUUAAUGAUUUCAAAAUCUUAUUUGAUCUCUUUAUAUACACAUUUUAUAAAACAGGAAUAAAAACACCCCUCAACAGAAGCUACUCAGUCCAGCAAUUACAAUUUGAAUCAAUAUCAUAUUAAUAAACCGCAACACUGCCUUGCAUUUUUUUAUCUGUUGCUUCAAAAAUCACUUGUCUUCAAAUCUACUGUCUUUUCUUUAGAGACAGUCUCAUUCCAGAAACACAGAAAUUUUUGCUUAAUGAUAUGAUGCAAAUAAAAAGAAUACAUUUAUAAAAUAUAAUUUAUCUAGCUAUUUUUUUCUCUAACUCUAAAAUUUUAUCUGUGAAUAUCAAUUAUAUUAUCCAGUCUUUUACAAUCACUAAUAGAACAAGCAUUAUUAGAAAAGAUGAUUAGAUAAGGCCUCAACUAUGAUGAUUUUUAAUUAGCACUUUUGUAAUAUGAUUUGCUGAAGAAAAUAUGAUUAGUGGUUACUAUAAUUUUUACAAUGUCAUUUAUCUGAGCUUGACUUUUGUGUCAUUUUUGUAAAUAAACACAUAAAUGAAUAAAGGGACACACUCUCAAAGAUUCCAUUUCUUAUAUGUACUUUUUUAAAGCAAGGUGGUGGUUUAAUGAUCUUUAACUCAUCUUGACAUCAUAAUGGACAAACAGUGGAGAAAGAUUUUCCCCACUAUGUAGGUGUAUGAUAUUAAAGCAAUAAACACUAUGCAAUGUAAGUUAAAUUAUCUAUAAUAUAUAUGAUGUGAGUGUGUGUGUGCGUGUGCGCGUGUGUGUGUGCAUGUGGAUGCACUUCCUGAGACUAGCAAUUCCUUUUUCAGGAGCAUUUUAUGAAAUAUCAAAUAUUAAUCUAUCUGAAUUUAUGAUCUGACAAGGGGAAUUAUUAACUUCUCUUAGAUGGAAACCGCUUUGCAACAGGGCAAAACAAAUUGGUCCCUAAUUUCUAAUCACUCCUUCAGUAAUUCUAGGGACAGACACUCAUUAAUCAGUUCUCAGAUAAGAAACGUGCUCUGUUCUUUUAAUGAUCAAGUAUUCUGGGGAGACUUAAAGAAUCUCCAAUCAUCUCUUCCACUUCCAUAGUAUUAGAGUUGUUGCUUCAUCACCCAAAUUACCCAUAACUUUCCUCUAUACCAUUAAUGACUAAAAUUUAAGCUCUCGUUUCUUUUUCCCGAAUCAACCGCCUAGGCUUGCAUCUUCAGAACUUUAACAUAAUUUGUUAAAUUUAUUUAUAGGAAAUUGCUCAUAGAUUAUCUGCUGCAUCCCCAUUGUUGUCCUCUGAAUGGUGAUAUACUAUUAAGUUGAGCCAAAGAAAAAAAUAAUUGAAAGCAUCUUUUCUCUAGAACUUCCCUCCAAAAAUGAAAGAAUUAAAUAAGACAUGAUAAAUUAGAACAUAAAUUAUUAAGAUGGAUUCUACAAGACUAAAUGUACUGGUAAACUUCUAUGUCUGUAAAAUGAUUUUAAAAAUUUUUUAAAGUGUAAUUUGUAGAAACAUCUCCCAAAAUAAGCUUUCAGAGCCAGGCUAAUUACACUGACUAAAUCUUUUUGACUUGUUUUUUUUUUCUCAUAUAAAGUCUGCCUAUGGUGCUUCAAAGCCCUCUUUAUUCUUUAAACUGUUUCUGCUGGAGUCAGGAUCCAGGUUCCAUUCAUUUUUCUCCCAUUUUAGUCCUUAGCAUGGUAUCUAGUAACUGUUAAACAUGACUGAAUGAAUCAAGCAUUACAAUUUCCUAUAUGAGUCUUAUAUAGACAAGAUUCCAAAAACAUUUAUUAUUUUAGCAGUGGAGGUAAUAAAUUAUUGUGAUAAACUGCAUCCGUGAUCCAUGCAUUAUCAGUGAUAAAGUUAACCAUGUCAAAUUUUAAUUAUGGCCACAGCUACUUUCUGCUAUUCUACUUUAUAUUCACUGAUUAUACCUUUAAUAUUAUUUUUCAUUAGCUUAAAUUUAUAUUACCAAAGAAACAAGAAAUUAAUUAGGCUAACAGAUAAAAUCAGGGGAUAGGAGAAUUUUCAGGACACUUAUUAGUUAGAUUAAAAUAAAAUGUUUUGUACUUUUACCUACAGACAUUUUCAUUGAGCUUUAAAACAUACUGCCAUUCCCUGUGUUUUCAAAUAAGAAGAUGGCUCAAAGCCACACAUGGCAUGCACACCACUGAUUUAAUUUUUGGCACACUGAAUUCAAACUAGGAAUUCUGAAAUCUGUGUCAAUGAUGGAAUUGUGGCUUUGAUGAAGAGUCUGGGGAAAGAAUGGGGAGGAAACUGUGAGUAAAGUUCUCCAUUGCCCAAUCUUUCAGCACCUAAUAACUUGUGCUGAUGAAAAAUACCAGUCAUGCUGUUUGAGUUUGCAGAAUAAAUAGCUUUAAUUUCCAUUACUAACUGAGCUUCCAUUUGAAUAACGAAGACUUGGUUUACUGGACUGGUUUACUUGGAAUACUUACCCUGGCCAAUCCAGUGAAAUAAUUGGUAAGUGUAGUUAGAAUAAUAUGUAUGAAAGUUUUUUAAAAAGUAAAUGCUAUAAACAAUCAAGGCAUUAUUUAUUAAAUUGUUAGAUGCAAUGUAAAAAAUUUAUCCAACUUGAUGAUUCACUAAAUUUUUCCAAAUCAGUCAAACAAUGUACAAAAGAGGAGCUAAUAAUAGAUACUGAUAGCUUUUACAAAUUCUCUGUCAUAGAUAACUAGCUCUUAUCUAUGGAAAUAGGCUUUGGUUAUAACAUGAGAAAAUGAAAAUGCACAUCUAUCCAUAAAUGCAUUUUGAUUGAAAAUAUAAUCUUUUUACAAAGCGAAAUUGUCACAUUUGGAAUUUUCUAUUGCUUAUUAUUUACUUGAAGUAGUAGAAAUAAUAAUGAGAAGGUGCUAACAAUUGAGAGAAAGAGAGUAUGGGUGACAGAAAGAAUGAAAGACAGUAUCCAUUUUUAAACUAUGAUUAUGAAAAGGUGAAUUGUAAUUACUGGUUAACCUCCAUCUACUUUCAUAGGGUCAAUUAGGAGGGGUUAUAUUCCUCAAUAGAGGAAAAUCUGAAUUCAUUCUGCAACACCAGAGUAGAAAUAGUAAUUGGCAUAAGACCAAGCUCAGGGAAAAGCUUUAUAGCUAGAAAUUUACUAUCAUCUGAAUGUUUAUGUCUGCCCCAAAUUUAUGUCAAAACCUAAUCCCAAAUGUGAUGAUAUUAAGAGGUGAGCCCUUUGGUGGGUGAUUAAAUCAUGAGUACAGAGCUCUCCUGGAUAGGAUAAGUACCCUUAUAAAAGAAUCGAGGAAUAUCAUUGGCUUCUUCCACCACAAGUGGACACAGCUAGAAGACAUCUUCUAUGAAGAACAGGUGCUCCCCAGACACCAAAUCUCUCAGCACCUUAAUCUUGGAAUUCCCAGCCUUCAGAGCUGUGAGAAAUAAAUAUUUGUUGUUGAUAAGCCACCCAGUUUAUGAUAUGUUGUUGUAACAGCUUGAAUGGAGUAAGAAACAUAGAUACAGCAAAUAAAUAUAGAUAUAGGUAGAUAUAGAUAGAUAGGUAACCAGGUUUAUUUUGACAUCUUUUGAAGAAUAUAAAUAGUUUCAGAUUUAGAGGUGGCUGCCUGAAUUUGGAUGUGAAUAUCUACAGACCACACAAAUAUUUAUGGGAUCUAGAAUACAAUUUCACACCUUUAUCCUCUGAGUUUAUAUUUUCUGUUCAAUAAAAGCUGUAUUAUACAUUAUGUAGAUUUUUAAAUCAGUACAUAUAACUUCUUCAUUACUAAUAUGUGAAUGCCGGCUAUCCCCCAAAAAAAUACACCUACCUCAUUCUGCCUUUUACCAUGAGAAGUGAAGGAGUGACAAUCACCAUUCCAAAAAUUUAUGCUAGUGGAUUUUGACUUCUUUCCUCUGUAAACUGAAAAUAAAAUUCUAAGCCCCCCUACAACUAUCUAAAGGGACUCGCUCCUCUCAGCCAGGGUAUUCCACAGUUAACCUGAAAAAUUGGUUCAGACCAUGGCAGGAUGGUAGAGGGUGGGGAAUGCCUCAUUAUCUCCUCCUCUGUUUUGGAAUUCAGGAAAACUGGCCAGUGUUUAAUGUAAACAUAGAACAUAACUAUGAUAAGAAACAUUUACAUGCUAUUCUCUCUUAAUCCUGCUACCUGGAGGUUUCAUCUGCAUGAUAAAACUUUGGUCUCCACAACCUCUUAUUAUAACUCAGAAAUUUCUUUCUAUUGAUAAUAACUCUUUCAACCAAUUGCCAAUCAAAGAAGUUUUUAUUCUAUCUACAAUCUGGAAGCCACCUACCUAGCCUUGAGUUGUCCCCUUUCAGGACCAAACCAAUGUAUAUCUUGAGUGUAUUUGACUGAUGUCUCAUGUCUCCCUAAAAUGUAUACACCAACCUGUGUCCCAUCUACCUUGGGUACAUAUUUGCAGGAACUCCCAAGGUUGUGUCAUGGGUGCAUCUUUACCUUGACAAAGCAAACUUUCUAAUUUUUUUAAAAUGAGCAUAAGUUUUUUUUAAAUUAUAAAUUCUGGGGUACAUAUGCAGAUCAUGCAGGUUUGCUACAUAGGUAUACAUGUGCCAUGGUGGUGGUUUGCUUUAUCCAUUGCCCCAUCAUCUACAUUAGGUAUUUCUCCUAAUGCUGUCCCUCCCCAAUUCCCCCAAACCCUGUGCUUGCUCCCCAGCCCCUUACUCCCCAAUAGGCCCCAGUGUGUGAUGUGCCCCUCCCUGUGUCCAUGUGUUCUCAUUGUUCCUGAGUUCUGUCUCAGAUACUUUUGGAUUCACAACUCAAAACACUGCUCCAAAUACAGUCUACUCUUAAGCCCAUCAAAUGAGUUUUUAAUUUCAGACAAUAUAUUCUCACUUCUAGAAUAUUCAUUUGCUUCUUUUUCAUCUGUUCCAAUUCUUAAAAUUCUGCAUCUUUUCUUCCAAUUUGUCCACUUUCUUAGUCAUAAAAAUGACAAUUUUAUGACUAAGUGACAUCCUAAGAGAUCAAAAGAUUCUCCAGACUUUUCAUACUUGACUUUAGACAAAAUCCCAGGUACAAGCAAUAUUUAAAGAUUGUACCUUUAAUGUCCUAAAUUUUUAUAUGCUAUCUGAAUAACGAAUUGCAUUUCUUAUUAAAUCUCUGUAAUAGCACAUAUAUUAUCAGAAACAUCCAGAUCCACAGCCCAGACAAUGAUGAGAUACAGCAAUAUAGUGAAAUAUCACAAAGUACUAGCAUUACUUCCUUGGGGCAAGUUCAUCAUGGAAGCAGCCAAAGAGUGGCCUUGUCAAACUAAAAUAAGAGCAUUUUAAUGACAGAAUCUUUUACUGAGGGGCAAUUCCAGUUAGAAAGCAGUAUCUUUAUCUUUCAAACAAUUUACUUGUAUUUACCACACUUCAGAUAAAAUAUGGCAAAAAUCCAGAAUGAUAAAAUGUUUCCAGUCAAAUGUUUUCUUUGAUGACAAACAGUAUUAGCAUGUUAAAAGUCAACUAAUCCUGCUUAAACUAAUAGCAAUUGAUUCACAGAUCUUUGCUAAGGUAGAAUGUUUAAAUCUUUUUUUUUUUUUUUUUUUCCUAGACUAGGGUCUUUGGCGUUAUACUGCUGUUCAUGGAUUUUGUGUUCAGAAACGAGUUUGUGUAAUAAGCUUUAAUAUAAUUCUGUGGUAUCAUUAUUUGGUAAUGGUUUCUUAGCGGGUACAUUCAGCACACUGUGGAAAGUCUCAAUGUAAAAUACAAGAGCUAUCAAGAUCCACUGGAAUAGUCUCAUGGUUAGUCAAUGUUAUUUGUUAAUUAAAACUUUUGGCAAAAGUUGUGACAGUAUAUCAAAGAUGAGGGUGCUUUUUGAUCUGUUCACUGGGGAAAAAAGCCAGCGCCCCUGAAUUGCUAGAGAGUCCACUGGAUUUUCCUAUGUGGACAUUGAGGCAAGUCAAGUUACAGAAUGUACUUUGUACAUUUCACCAAAUAUUUUCAGGAUCCUUUAGGUAUGGUAUAAUGUUGUGUCUAAGAUUCUGUCAUUCCUCUGAAGAUGCCUGCUGGGGUUGCCCAGACAAUUUGCUCUACUGCAAAACUUUUCAAGUUUUCUCAUGUCUCCUUCCACCUCUUUUCUUCAGUAUGCCUGCUUCUCAUUCUUUCCUGUAGUUGUACCUGUUAGGAAAAGCUAAAUGCCUCAAUUCCUUUACUCUUUCCUGCUCCUUAUCUCUUAUGAUCCCAUUCUCUCUUGUUCCUUCUCACUGACGGUCUUGGCAUUUUAGUAAGAACCAGUCACUCUUUUAGGGGAAAAUUUCCCACUGAUGUCACAUGAAUAGUAUCUGGGUCAUCCAUUCUUUUACAUUUCUGGAUUAUAUAAAUAAUCACAUAGAGAGAGAGGGCUAUUUUUCACAGCCCUAAACCUUCUCUUCUCUGAUUCUAGUGCUCUUCUGGAUAUGUGAAAUUAUCUAGAAGACACAAUCCAUAUAUUUGAGCCACUACCACACAUAAACUUAUGGUUUGAACAUGAAGAAUGCAUAUAAAAAUCUGUGCAUAGGCCGGGUGCGGUGGCUCAAGCCUGUAAUCCCAGCACUUUGGGAGGCUGAGGCGGGUGGAUCACGAGCUCAAGAGAUCGAGACCAUCCUGGUCAACAUGGUGAAACCCCGUCUCUACUAAAAAUACAAAAAAUUAGCUGGGCAUGGUGGCGCGUGCCUGUAAUCCCAGCUACUCAGGAGGCUGAGGCAGGAGAAUUGCCUGAACCCAGGAGGCGGAGGUUACAGUGAGCCGAGAUCGCGCCAUUGCACUCCAGCCUGGGUAACAAGAGCCAAACUCCGUCUCAAAAAAAAAAAAAAAUCUGUGCAUAAUCUGCUACAGACCCAGUCAUAGCUGGUGUUUGGUGGAAGGUGUGUUUAGGAGCUUGGAGAAUGACUGCCCUAAGAAGUAAAAAUGAAUUGCUUCUCUUGUAGCUUCUGGAGGAUACCAAUACCAUCCACACUGUUUUUAUCUCCUGUCUCCAGAUAUGAUCCAAGGAUAUUUAGCAAUAGCUAGUGCUAAUAAUCAAAGACAAAAGAUAUUAGGAGUAGACAUUUCAAUCAAAUUCUGGAGAAUAUUUUUGUUUAUUCUGAUGAUCUAGUAUAAUGUUUUUGAAACUUUAAUAUGCAUACAAAUUAACUGGAUGUUUUGCUAAAGAUGAAAAUUCUGAUUCAGAGUAAGUCUGGGGUGUGACCUGAGAUUCUGGAUUUCUAACAUGCUCAAAAGGAAAACAAUGCUGAUGGUCCAAAGACCAUACAUUGAAUUGCAAGAGAGUAGGGUCAAUAUAGACGCCAUUAGCCACACAUGGCGAUUUAUGGUGCUAUUCAAGUCAACAGUAUUUUACUGAUUUUCUGCCUGCUUGAUCUAUCAAUUAUUGAAACAAAAGUGUUGAAGUCUCCAACUAUAAACAUGGAUUUGUCUAUUUCUUUCUGCAAUUCUAUCAGUUAUUAUCUCAUGUGUUUUGAUACUAAUUUAAUGUUAGGCAUACACAUAUUAAGGAUUGUUAUUUCACUUCUUGAACAGUUGAAUCCUCUAUCAUUAUAUGGUGUUUAUCCUUUCCCCUGGUAAAUUUUCUUUUUCUGAAAUAGGCUGUUUCUGAAACUAAGAUAGCUAGCUAUCCAGCCUUCUUUUAAUUAUAAUUAACAUGGUAUGUAUUGGUGCAUCCCUUUACAUUUAAACUAGCUUGUCUUUAUAUUUAAGUAGGGAUUUUGUGGGCAGUUUUUACUCCUUCUGCCUUCUUUAAAGACUUUUUGCUCUGUCUUUGGUUUUCUGUGGUUUGAAUAUGGAAACUGCUUAGAUAUAAAACUAUUGGCAUUUUAUCUUAUUUGCCUUGCUCUGAACUUCAUGGAUCUGUGGUUUGAUUUCUGUUAUUAAUUUUGAAAAAACAUAACCAUUGGUACUUCAAAUGUUUCUUCCUCUUCAUUUUCUGUUACUUCAUCUGAUAUUUCAAGUAUGUGUAUGUCACUCUGUUUGAGAUUGUUCUAUAGUUCUUGGAUGUUCUGUUCUUUUUUUUUUCAUUUUUUUAUUUGUGUUUCAGUUUGGGAAAUUUAUAACGACAUAUCUUCAAACACUGAUUCUUUCCUUAUCUGUGUCCACUCUACUGAUGAACCCAUCAAAGGCAUUUUUCAUUUCUGUUACAACGGUUUUGAUCUUUACCAUUUCCACUUUAUUCUUUUUUAGCUCUUUCAUUUUUCUGCUUAAACUUCUCAUCUGUUCUUGCAUGUUUUCUAUAGAGCCCUGAACAUAUCAAUCGUUGUUAUUUUAAAUUCUGUCUACUAAUUCCAAAAUCUGUGUCAUAGCUGAGUCUUGCUCUGAUGAGUGCUUUUUCUCUUCAUAACGUGUUAUUUUGUUGUUGCCUUUUAGCAUGUCUUAUAUUUUUAUUGAUUAAUAUUUUUAGUUGACAUCUAAUCAUUGUACAUAUUUAUGGAGUACAGUGUAAUAUUUAAGUAUGUAUGCCAUGUGUCAAAUCAGGGUAAUUAGCAUAUCCAUCACUUCAAACACACACUUAUAAUUUCCUUGUGUUGGAAACAUUCAAAAUCCUCUUUUCUAGCUAUUGGCAAAUUUACUAAAUUAUUGUUACCUAUAGUUAACCUACAGACUAUAGAACAUCAGUACUUAUACUUCCUAUCAGGCUGUUACCUUACCCUUUCCAGUCUCUACUAACUACUAUUCUACUUCCUUGUAAUUUUUUCUUGAAAGCCAGUAGCAGUGCAUCAGUUACUAACUGAAGUGAAUAGGCCUUAUACAUAAUCUAACUCCUAGCCAAACUAACAUAAAACCACAUAUUAACAUUCAAUAAUUGUUAUAGUAGUAUGGGUCUGAAACCAACAUUAACUAGUGUCCUUGUUUUGUCUCCAGUGUUGUUUUUGUGCUUCCUUAACAAGUCUUCCUUAAAUAGCGCCUACAUCUUGCACUCUUUCCAUUGUAAUCCACUGCUAUUAUACUGAAGCCCUUUUAGCCUGACAUUAAGGUAUAGGUGGUAGAGAAGAGUUCUUUGAUCUUAUGAUUAAAUUUCAUUCUUUUAAUGGGUUAAGUAGUCUAGGACCAUGGUAGGUCUUUCUUAGCUUUUGAUUUCUUCUUAGAUCAUUUAGGAAUGCUAGAGGACGUUAGGGACUUCCUUUCCUGUAGGCCAGAUAAGCCUCAGGUAAAGUCUUUUCCCUUUGAGUGGAGGUCUUUGUCAUGGAGAUUGCUGCAGGUGUAUUUCACAAAGGUUAUUAUCUUCUCUCCCUGUCAGAGCCUGGAGAAGAUUUUGGCUCUUCACUGUGAGAUUCUUUUGGAAAUCCCAAGAAAAUGUGAGAGGUCCUCCAAGAUUGCAUCCUUUACAAGUUUUUCACUCCCAUGCUAGUUCACAAUCAUUUUCAAUAUUUCAUAAAAGUUACCAAUUGAAAUGUUCCUACCAGUUUAUGGCUCCAAGAAAAGUGAUGAAUUACAAGUUGUUCAGCGUUUUCUUGUUUCAAAAACAGCAGUAACCACUUCCAAGUUUUUGUUUUUUUCUUUUGUUUUUUUAAGAGAAAGAGGGUCUUGCUAUGUUUACCAGUGUUAAAGCAAACUGAAUAUGACCUGAGAAGGACUCCAUAAUUCUGUAUUUGAGUCCUUUUGGACAAACUGUAACCUAGCUUAAUAAGCAGACAAGAUGGAAAACCUAACCUAAGAGUAUGCGCCUGCAACAAUAGCUGAGUCUUGGCCAAUCCCAGUUGCCAUACUUCAACCACUCAUAGACUGCUAAAUGUUCAAAUUGUGUUCAAAUAAGGCGAACACCAGCUUGUAACCAAUCUAGCUGUUUCUGGUUUCUGUACCUCACCACCGAUUUCUCUGUCACUUUAUUUAUUUAUUUAUUUAUUUUUAUUUUUUGUUUAUAAAUUAGUUCUGGAGGCAUCUCUGGAGUCUCUCUGAAUCUGCUGUGAUUCUGCGGCUUGCCUGAUUUGUGAAUCACUCAUUGCUCAUUUAAGCUCCUUUAAAUUUAAUUUGGCUGAAGUUUCUCUUUUAACACCAAACCUCAAGUAAUCCUCCCUUUUCAGCCUCCUGAGUAGCUAGGAUUACAGGCACAAGCCACUGUGCCCAGCUAAGCCCUUUACAUAUUGUAGCUGAAGCAGAAUUUCCAUAUGUGGCUAUUUAAAUUUAAAUUGUAAAUCAAAACAUACCUGAGACAAGUCUCAAUCAAUUUAGGAGCUUAUUUUGCCAAGGUUAAUGACAUGCCAUGACACAACCUCAGGAGAUCCUGACAACAUAUGCCCAAGGUGGUCAGGCUACAGUUUGGUUUUAUACAUUUUAGAGAGACAGAUGACAUCAAUCACUACACGUAAAAUGUGCAUUGGUUCAGGAUCCAGAAUGGCAGGGCAAUUCUAUGUUGAGGGUGAGGGGUGGCCUUUCAGGUCUUAAGUGUAUUCAAAGAUUUUCUGAUUGGCAAUUGGAUGAAAGAGAUUAUCUAAAGACCCGGAAUCAAUAGAAGAGAGUUUCUGGGUUAAGAUAAGCAGUUUUCGAGACCAAGGUUCUUAUUGAGAAUAGACUGUAAAAGUUUCUUAUCAGAUCUGAAGAGUCUGCUCUGUCAGUCUUAAGGUCUCCGUUUUAAUGUUAAUGUUGGUCAGCUGUGCCCAAAUUCCAAAUAAAGGAAGGUCAAAUGAGACAUAUCCAACAACCCAUUCCGACUAUGGCCUGAACUAGUGUUUCGGGUUUAUUUUAGAAUGCCCUUGGCCAAGAGGAGCGGCCCAUUCAGUUGUCUGGGUGCACUUAAAUUUUAUUUUGGGUUUACCAAACUACGUAAAGUUAAACGAAAUUUAAAAGUUUGUUUCUUGGUCACACUAACCAUAUUUCAAGUGUUCAAUAGCCAUGUGUAGCUAGUGAUUUCUGUAUGAGAUAGCACCCAUGUAGAAUAUUUUCAUCAUCACAGGAACUUUUGUUAGUCAGAGAUAGGCUAAAGGAAUUCCCUAAAGAAAUCUCAUGAGGCAACUAGAAUCACAAGACAAAAUGGGUCAAAGUAAAAUCUUUUAGAGUAAUGUGAAUCUUUGUCUCAGGUUCACUAAGAGAGAAAAUUCACAAUAGAGGAUAACUAAAGAGUUGACUCACAAUAGUCUGCAGUAAUAAAGAUAAGAAGUGAUCUCUACCCUAUUAUAGCAAUUAGCCUAAGGCAAAAAAAAACCCCCCAAAGAAAACGACCCAACCAAGACAAAGACCUUUACAUUUCCAUAGUAUAGCUAAAGCCAAUCUUGGAUUUUCUGCAAGUGACUGUCAUAUCUAGACUUUUAUAUCUAGAUUUAAAAGUGUUUUUCUAUGGCUAUGUUUUUGUUAUUGUUGUUGUUCCUUUUCAUUUUUUUUGAGACACAGUCUCACUCUGUCAUCUGUCACUCAGGCUGAAGUGCAGUGGCAGGAUCUCGGCUCACUGCAACCUCCAACUCCCAGGCUCAAGUGAUUCUCAUGCCUCAGCCUCCUGAGUAGCUGGGAUUACAGGUGUGUACCAUCAUGCCUGGUUAAUUUUUGUAUUUUUAGAAGAGACAGGGUUUUGUCAUGUUGCCCAGGUUGGUCUUGAACUCCUGACCUCAAGUGAUCCAAACCCCUAGCCUCCCAGAGUGCUAGGAUUAUAGGUGUGAGUCACACACUCGGCCUUGUUUUUAUAUUAUUCUGUAUAUUUUUCCAGUCAGACAAAAGUCUGAGAAUUAGCUAUUAAAAUGCUAGCUUUGGCUUGUGAUUUUGAGUGUGUAAAAAAAUCCCCAAGGAUAUAUGCUGAUUUAGCCUCAGGAAUUAUUUAGAAAUUAAUUUCAAAAACAUAUAACCCAGAAUAAAAGUAAAAACUUUUAAAAAGAAAGGGAGAGAGAGAGAGCAUCCACACAAUUCAUUUGCUUCAGAAACUAAAAAAAAAAAAAAAAAAAAUGAGAUCUUCGGUACUUUUAAUAUUAAAGAAUGUCAUGUAAGUGACAGGCUUAAUGGCUGAAACCUUUGAGGUGAUUAUAGUGCCAGGACAGUUAAAUAUGAUAAUGUAAUAUUAGACCAGAGAAGCAUAGUAAUGCUGGCAUAAUCUGUACAUUGUCAGUUGAUCAAAAAUUAUCUUACUAGUAUAAUACAGCAAUUAAAAAUAUCUUUUUAUAUUUUUUCUGAAUAAUGCUAUAUUCUAAUAUACUGUUCUGAGUUCCUCACAGAAGCCACAAGUUUCUACUUUAAGCAAUCUGUUUCUUAAAUUGAAGGUUAAAAUUAGAGGUUUACCAUUUUGCCUUUGAUCUUUUACUUUUAUCAGAAAAUAAGAGCCAUUAAUUCUGAAAUGCCAUUGGUUGAAAUAAAUAAAAUAUUUCCUAUGCUAUUUUUAAACUAUGAUAUUUGCACAAAAUGUGAUAUUUAUUAAUAAGAGCUGAUAUAUGUAUGUUGCACUACAUAGUUGUCCCUUGGUAUCUCUUGGAGCUUGGUUUCAGGAUGUCCCACUGAUAUCAAAAUCUAUGCAUGCUCAAGUGUCUGAUGUAAAAUGGUAUAGUAUUUGUCAUUGUAUACAUUGACAGAUAACCCCUGCACAUCCUCUCAUACACUUUAAAUUAUCUUUAGUCAUUACAUUACAUUACUUUACAUUAACUUUGCAACUUUUUAACUUUUUGAUUAAAUGCUUUCAUUACUGAGAGUUCCCAAAAUAAAUUCCUGAAAAUGUAAAAUGGUUAUUUUAAGUUUUACAGAACCAAUGUAAUUAAGAAUAAUGUAAAGACUAUUUCUAGGGCUCGAAGUUACUGGAUAUGAUCAUUAAUCCCUAAUAAGCAACUAUGUAUCCUCAAAUAUUGAAAACUGAAAAUAAUAAUAAAGAUCUUGAAAAUUUACAAAUCAAAUUCCUGGGCCAACCUGAUGGCAGCUAUUCAUAGAAAUCAAUAAAGCCAGUAAUGGGCAAGGAUGCAAAAAAGGAAACAACAGUAGUAUCAUAAGAUCUCCUCCCUCCACUUGCAGCAUCACACGGUUGGAGGGGUAAUGUAGAAAUUGCAAAUAUAGCUAAUGUCUAUUAAUCAUUACAUGUAUCAGGCACCUAACUAAUUAUUCAUUCAUUCACACAGCAAAUAUUUAUGAAUCACUGAAACUGCCUAGACACGUGGAAUACUAUAGAUGAACAAAACAGACAAGGUUUUCUGUCCUCUUGCCAUUUCUAUUUUACUAGAAGCCACAUAAAUAAGUAAAUAGUGAUGUCAACACUACUAAGGAAAAUAAAAAGAGUAGAGUAAGGUUUUUGGAGGUGCCGAGUAAAGAAGAGUAGCUGCAACUUGAAAUCUGUGGGCCUCAUUGAGAAGGUAACAUUUGAACAGAAGUGUUGUCUACCUGAAGAGUGCUCCAGGUAGACAAUAGCUGGUACAGUUACCUAGGAUGGAGAGUGCUACUCUGCUCGAGAUGCUACAUGGAAGCCAUUGUGUCCAUAAAGGAGUCACCAGGGAAUUGAGGGGAAAGAGAGUGAAGUAAAAAGGUCAGAGAAAUCAUGGAAGAUGAGACUAUAAAUAUACGUUGAAGAUAGAGCCAACCGGAUUUCUUGCUAAUUGGAUACACAUGCCAGAGAAGGAAUGGAGUCUGCCAUAUAUCCCAAGAUUAUAGCUUGAGCAACUGAAACGAUGAAAUUCCUAUCAGGUAAUAUAGGAGAAAAAAACAGAUGGAGAAGACUGGGUAGAACAUUGAAUUUCAAUUUUUCUUUUAUCUCAAAAUAAAUUUGAGGUUUGAUUAGCUUUAUGUGAUAAUUUUUCAUGAAUUUGAGAUGUCUGUGGGAAAUCCAAUUGGCAAGAUCAAGUAGACAUCUUGAUAUAUGAGUCUAGAGUUCAAGAGUGAUCUUCUCUGGAGACACAUAAUUGGUAACUUUGUACAUAUACGUGGAACAAAAUUGAGUAUGAGAACCAGGUACUAAGCUCUGGGACACUUGAACCGUGACUGCUAAAUUUGGGCAUUACUAGGAAUGGAGCAGAGAAAAAGUGACCAGAAGGGAGAAAACUAAGAGAAGGUAGUAUUUUGAUCUAAGAGCAGAAAGUUUAUGAAGGACAAGGGGAGAAGCAAUUGCCUCAAACACCAUUCAUAAGUAAAGGAAAAGGGAAUAAGAUGAAGACUGAGAAUUGACCAUUAAACUUGGGAAAUAGAAGAGUUUUACAAAGCAGUAAGGGGAGAUGGCUGAUUGGGAUGUAUGUAAUAGGAAUAGAAGUAGAAAAGUGAAGAAAGUGAACAUGUGGAAAGCUGGUUCAGAGAGCUUUUCUGCAAAGUGAAAUACAGGAGUGAAUUGGUAGCUGGCAGGGAAGUGAAGUCGAGAAGUUUAAUGACUUAUUUUAAGAUGGGAGAUGUCUUUGUAUUGGGAUGGGAAUAAUCCAAUAGAAAGUGAAAAAAGAUAAUAGAAUGGGGCUCAAUAUUUUUUAUUAGUCAAGAGGUGAUGGGACUUACUGUACAAAUCAAGGAAUUGACUCAUAGGAAUAAAAUUUAUCCAAUCUAUGGCAACAGACAGGAAAGCAUGGCAUACCUGUACAGAUGCUGCUAGGUCUGAACAGAAGGGAGUAGAAGCACAUAUAUGGAAUAAAAGUGGGUUGACUUUCUCUCCUUUACAUAUAUCCAUAGCAAUCAACAUGACCAGGAAUGGGGGAAACAAAUGAGUACCAAGGCCCUGAGGAGGGAGCUGGGUAAUGCCCUACAGUGUCCACUACAGUGACUCACCAAGUAGUGAGUAACUAAUCUGCUGAUGGGCGAUUUAAUAUUGCCUACAGAAAUUCUGAUGAAUAUGAAGCAAAUAUGCUGAUUUCAGUUCUAACUUUGAAGUACACUGUGCUGACGAUUUCAGUAGUAUUUUAAAUUAAUUUCCCAAUUAAAUAUGGUAAAAUAAUGCCAUUAUCAUGGAGGAUAAGGUUAUUGAGAAUUCAAUGAAAUCAUUCAAAUAAAGAAUUCAGCACAGUUAUUGCGCAUAGUAAGUACUCAAUGAAUGUCAGGUGUUAGUUAAAUGAAACAAUCAUAAUUCUCAGAAAGUAAUAAUUUAUUUUUCAUUAUUACUAGGUGUGGAGGGGGUGGUUUUGUUGCUAAUAGUGUUUUGUUUUUGUAUUGGGGGAGGUCUCUACUGAAGAUCAGAAUUAGAUAUCCCUCAGGAAGAAGCUGUAUUUAUUGGAGAUGUGCAUAAUCAUUUUAAAUUUAAGUCUUUCUCUCUUUAGGUUUUUUAAAUUGAAAAUCUAUUCUGAACUACUUAGGCAUUUUAAUUAAGACUUUGCUUUGGGGGUCCAAAGUGGCUCCCGCCGGAGGUCAUGGCGCUUGCAAAGGUGAGGUCAUCAGUUCAAGGCUAACCUGAGCAACCUCAUAAGCUCAAACUGAUUGGCAAAAAAAAAAAAAAAAGACUUUGCUUCUCUCAUAUUUAAAUCUCUUAAAUGCUGUGUGUUUACCAAAUUUCUCUCUUUUGCUCUUUAAAAUUGUUUAUUAUUUUAACUUAUUUGAGGACAUUUAAAGAAACAAAUGUUCUCUUGUUGAAAAGAAAGAUAAUUUCUUAUUGCAAAGAUGAGUGAGAGUUUAAUUUUGCCAACCAAAGAAAUUUGGAGAAAACUUGAGUAAGUGAUUUCUUUCAUUAGCCUGUCAACAGGUUAUCUGUUUCCACAUGUAAUAACAAAACAAGUAAUUCUGACUUAAUGAAAUAAAACCAACCCUGAAAACAAAUAGGACUCCUUUGCAGUUGUAACUGAAUUAGAUACUGAAAAAUGCUUGCAUUCUGAUGUUUUGAAAAGUCUAAUGAAAUUAUAAAUAUAAUAUUUCAGUGAAGGAAACAUGCAUAGAUAGCUUAAAAAGAAGCUCAAAUUCACUUUGCCACUUACAACUUUUCUUAUCUAUAAGUAGGUGAUAUGAAAUAAUUCAGGAAAAUUGCGUUUCAACCCAAAUUUCAUGAGGUUGCUAAGUAGAAAGUAGUUUGUAAUAUGCACUAGGACAAAUUGAUAUUGUGAUCCUUAGAGUUAAAGUCUUUAUUUGAUAAAUGCAGAAACUCAAAUUUAACUCUAACAGAAGUUUAAAAUAAGUUAUAAAUAAGAUUUAAUGCUAACAGCAGGGAUUUAUUCUAACCAUAAACUGAAAAAAACCCAUAUUAAUAAGUUACAAUCAUGCAUGACAGUAUAUUAAAAUCAAACUGUCCUUUUUUUUCCCAAAAGAAUAGCUGAUGAACUAGUUAGAGCUAGUUAAACCAGAAUAAAAUCUCUUUCAUACACACACACACACACACACACACACACACACAAUUGAAUAGUAAUAAGAAAAUAAUGUUAUUGUCAUUUAGAAUCAUUGCCUUCUAGGUUGAAAACAAUGGCUUUCUUGUGGUAUCUUUAUAAGUUAAUAAAAAUCAAUAAAGUAUAUAAUAAUGACAAAAGAGCCACUGUCCUAGGAUUAGAACGAAAUAUUUUUUCCUAACACUCCAUUCAAACACAUUUUAGGCCCUGGAGAAUGGAACAUUUGGGGAUUGUGCUCUGAGUCAAGCAGAAAUUCAAAGAAAAUUGCAAUGAUCAGAAAAACUGUCUCACUUUCUCUAAGUUACUCAUAGCAGUGAUUUAGUACAUAAAUGAAAUAACUGUCUACUGUUUUGAGGACAAAAUAUAGUUCACUCAUUCUGCUUUUUUCUCCCUUUCUUUCCCUAAAUUCUCACGGUUUUAGCUUUAGCACUUUUGACAUCGGGCCGGAGACAAAGACUUGAUUGCCGAUCAUUUGGGGGAGCAUGCAAUCCUAAGAAAAGGAAGUACAGAACAGGGCAAGUGAAAAUGAAAAGGAGCGAUAACUGCAUUUAUCUGUCAGUUCCAACCCUCAUUUGGAUAAGACUGACUCCUCAGAUAUUAACGGCCCUGCUCUUUUGGGUUGCUCAUGCAUGAGUACGUUGCAGGAGCUCAAUAAUGUUCUAUACUCAAGGUAGUAAGCAGUUAGUUUGCAACCCAAGGAAAGGCACUGUUGGGUUGCAACGGCCACAGCUAGUGGAGGGCUGAAUGGAGGCAGUCACACCACAGAAACAGGGGCUGCCAGUAAGGUUUAGAGCAUGGCAAAAUGGAACACAGUAGUUGUCUGAGAUGCUCUUCCUCCUCUUGUAAUCUAGACUCCUUUAAGCUCCCCCACUUAUGGCUCACAAAAAUUUUGUUUUUGUUGCUGCUCUGUACAUACCAAAGUGAUUUUAUCUCAAAUGCCUGACUUAGUUUUCUGAAGCAGGAUAAAAACAAAAUAGCGGUAUUUUUAACCUUAUGUAAAAAUUCUAAACAGCAUGUAACCUGUCGCGGGACGGGACAGGGCUCAGCUCCCUCCUUGAUUUGGUGUGCCUGAGAUUCUUGGCUUCUCUUUGCUCCAAGAAUGGGGAAGGGGCCCUAGUGGCACCGUGUGCUUUCUAUUCAAGCAAAUAUCGGACCCAAAGAGUUUAGCAGAAAGCUAUUUAUUAGGCAGAGAGAGAAGAGAAAGAGAGAAAGCUCCCACUCUGCCACGGGAGGGGCAUCCGAAGGGGAUUUCUGCACAGGUAGAGCGGGAAAAACAGCUCCCACGUUGUUGUGGGAGGGGAUCCCAGAAAGUGAAAUCCAUGCAGGUAAGAUGCAGUGGAGUUUUAACUUUGAAGUUAUUCCUGUCUCAUUCAUAUUCUUGUCCAAUUAGAGGAGUUCUUUCAAACUUCCUCUGGAGUGAUUGAUAUUUGACUCUGAUGCUGGAUUGACGGGCCCAGAACAGAGGCCCUUUCUCCCAGUGCUUUUCCAGGGCUUUUUUAAACAAGGGAGCACACCUGAAAUUUUAUCUUGUCCAUGCACAGGAAAGUUAGACAAAGAACUCUAGGUUCCCGGAUGGGGAGGUGGAUGGAGGCCUGGUGCUGGGAAAUUCUUGCCUUUGAAACCACGCCCCUUGUGGACCAGGGAAAAGAAGUUAACAUAGUCCCUCAAGCAGCUUUAGAAAGGGCCCAUGCAGCAAAACUUUGAAUCCCUCUACCUUAUUCAAGACUUUCCACCACCUCAAAGGAUUUCUACUCUUGGUUCCCUUCAUUCAUCCUAACCCUUGUUAGUCAAGUGUCCUGAAAUCCAUCCUACCCGUGUCUUGAAAUAUCUAGCAGAACAAAUAAUUUUUCUAAUGUCUAAGACUUUUUCUGAUGCACUACGAUUUGACAUUUCUUAUGAUAGAAUGUAUUACCUCCAAAACCAGUGUCUUAGUUCAGGCUGCUGUAACAAACUAUCAUGGACUGGGGGGACUUAAAUAACAGAAAUUUAUUUUUAAGAGUUCUAGGGGAGAAAUUCAAGAUCAGGGUGUGAGCUUGGCCAGGUUCUGGUGGAGGAGCUCUUCUGUUUGUAUACUCAUAUGGUGGAAAGAGUUCUCUGGGAUCCUUAUCAAAAGGCAUUAAUCCUAUUCAUGGGAGAGGGGGCUUCACUCUCAUGACCUAAUAAUGGUUGCCCAAAUCCUGACCUCCUAGUACCAAAACACUGGGGUCAGGAUUUAAGCAUAUAAAUUUGGGAGAGUGGGAUACAAUCAUUCAGUCCAUUGUAGUCUGUGUGAGAUAACUCGAAUAAAAGAUUCCUUUUAACAUUUUUCUUGGAAACACUGCUAUUUACUACCAUACACAUUUUUCAUAUCAUUUUAUUCUUGCCAAUAUACUUAGUAAUGAUUCUAUAUGGGUCUGAAUACAAUUUCAGGUGAUUAUUGUUGUAUGUUUUUGGAAAGCAUCACUACUACACUGAGCGAUGUUUAGUUUUUAGAUACUUGACCCCUGUAAUUUUUGCCCCUUUCUUGAAGCUCAGGGUCUUAGUACAGUGUCGGUUUCUGCAUCAUACCACCAGUGUUUACAGAUUGCUGCCAAAAGUCAAGACAAGGAGGGAAGGAAGCCCAUUGUUGAGAAAACGUGGACAGACACUGAAAGUUAAAGCUGACAAGUAGCAGCAAGCAAGCAAAUUCUUCAGCACAACCAAGAUUGUAUAAUGCAUUGAUAAACAUACACAAAAUUCUCAUUUGUUAAUACCAUUUGUCCAAAAAUACUGGCCCUAUGGAGGGCAAAAUAAAGAGAUACAGUUCUCAUUCUUGAAGGGAGCGCCGUAUACGCUGAGGACAUAAGAGAAUCAUGUACAUACAUUUACAUAACAUAGAAUUAAGUGUGAAGGUCCCUUGUACCACUGAAAAAUUUUUUUAAAUGGAAAAAUUUAUAUAAGGCUGGAGUCAAAAUGGUUUUAUGCAUUUAAAGGAGGACUUGCAGAAAAUGGGAAGUUUGAAUUUGGACUGGUGGAAAAGGGCAGAAAAUGCAUUUCUUGUGAGGAAUAGUAGUUGAGUAAUUCCCAGACACACAUGAUUCUGUCCACUUACAAGUUCAUUUUUCCAUUUCCCUAAGUUCCUCUUUGCUGCUUUCUAUUCAGAUAUUUGAGGCGCUGGCUCCCACUGGUCAUUUAAACUUGCCUUAAGAAUGCUUAUAUCAUCUUACUUAUGUAUGCUCUAGUCUCUCUGUAGAAUUAGGUCUUAUUUUAUUUUCUUCAAAGAACUUGCCUUACCUGAUAUUGUCUCGUUUACUUAUUUAUGUUUAUUUUUUCUUCCAUCCUCCACUAAAAUGUUAGCUACAUGAGAGAAAAGAAUUUGUCCAUCUUCUUUACCUGCUAUUCAACAGCAAUCUGAACAGUAUUUAACAUAAAGUUCACAACUAAUUGUAUUUCUUGGAUAAGUUGAAGAAUGCAUCACACAUAAUCAUAUGACCUUGCCUCUUUCAUGACAAGAACUGGGACUUCAGUAUGUUCUUUUCUCAGUCUCUCUACUAACUAGAGGUUUCAUGAUUCACAUUCUUGCUUCAUUUAAAAUCUAUUCAACAAU